Homo sapiens (human) is the source of this 148-nucleotide non-coding RNA. It matches the Rfam family "Metazoan signal recognition particle RNA". Rfam says of the family: The signal recognition particle (SRP) is a universally conserved ribonucleoprotein. It is involved in the co-translational targeting of proteins to membranes. The record is from Rfam. Lineage: Eukaryota; Metazoa; Chordata; Mammalia; Primates; Hominidae.
GCCGGGCAUGGUGGUGCGUGCCUGUAAUCCCAGCUACUUGGGAGGCUGAGGCCAGAGAAUCGCUUGAACCUGGGAGCUGGAGGUUGCAGUGAGCCAAGAUUGGCCCACUGCACUCCAGCGUGGGUGACAGAGCGACACUCUGUCUCAA